UUAUCCUACGGGAGGCAGCAGUAGGGAAUAUUGCUCAAUGGGGGAAACCCUGAAGCAGCAACGCCGCGUGGAGGAUGAAGGUUUUCGGAUUGUAAACUCCUUUUGUUAGAGAGGAUAAUGACGGUAUCUAACGAAUAAGCACCGGCUAACUCCGUGCCAGCAGCCGCGGUAUUACGGCGGGUGCAAGCGUUACUCGGAAUCACUGGGCGUAAAGAGCGCGUAGGCGGGAUAGCAAGUCAGAUGUGGAAUCCUAUGGCUUA
RNAcentral lists this ribosomal RNA (260 nucleotides) under uncultured bacterium. RNAcentral's name for it is "partial 16S ribosomal RNA". It matches the Rfam family "Bacterial small subunit ribosomal RNA", at positions 334 to 611 of the family's 1533-position model. The record is from RNAcentral.